RNAcentral lists this ribosomal RNA (724 nucleotides) under Rana chaochiaoensis. RNAcentral describes it as "partial 12S ribosomal RNA". The stretch from base 1 to 483 matches the Rfam family "Bacterial small subunit ribosomal RNA", at positions 848 to 1533 of the family's 1533-position model. The record is from RNAcentral. Lineage: Eukaryota; Metazoa; Chordata; Amphibia; Anura; Ranidae.
AUUAACUUACACCCACACCGCCAGGGAAUUACGAGCAAUGCUUAAAACCCAAAGGAUUUGACGGUGUCCCACCCCGCUAGAGGAGCCUGUUCUAUAAUCGAUGAUCCCCGCUUCACCUAACCAUUCCUCGCCCAUCAGUCUGUAUACCUCCGUCGAAAGCUUACCCUGUGAACGUCCGCAGUAGGCCCAAUGAUUCCCCAUCAGUACGUCAGGUCAAGGUGCAGCUUAAGGAAUGGCAAGCAAUGGGCUACAAUUUCUAAUCUAGAACAAACGAAAGACUAUGUGAAACCCUAGUCAUGAAGGUGGAUUUAGUAGUAAAAAGAAACUAGAGUGUUCUUUUUAACCCGGCUCUGGGACGCGUACACACCGCCCGUCACCCUCUUCGAUAGUACUAUAUCUGUUAAUAACCCCAUAUCACGUUUUAGAAGAGGCAAGUCGUAACAUGGUAAGUGUACUGGAAAGUGCACUUGGUACACUACAAAAUGUAGCUUAACAAAAGCCCCUCGCUUACACCUAGGAAAUGUCUGUUUAACCCAGAUCAUUUUGAGCCUGAAAUCUAGCCCACAAAUUCAUAUGCCCUCACACUACCCAAACAAGCAAACAAAACAUUUUAACAAUUUAGUACAGGCGAUCGAAAAACUUCUAAGCGCUUCAGAUAAAGUACCGCAAGGGAAAUAUGAAAUAGAAAUGAAACAAUCCUAAAGCCCCAAAUAGCAGAGACACC